Molecule: ribosomal RNA, 496 nt
Filed under: uncultured bacterium
Lineage: Bacteria
Description: bacterial SSU rRNA
Rfam family: Bacterial small subunit ribosomal RNA
Source: RNAcentral
AAAGGAAUUGACGGGGACCCGCACAAGCAGCGGAGCAUGUGGUUUAAUUCGAAGCAACGCGAAAAACCUUACCAAGACUUGACAUUGUGCGCAUAUCUAUGAAAGUAGUGAAUUUGAAGCAAUUCAACGCAUAAACAGAUGGUGCAUGGUUGUCGUCAGCUCGUGUCGUGAGAUGUUGGGUUAAGUCCCGCAACGAGCGCAACCCCUACUGUUAGUUGCCAUCAUUAAGUUGGGCACUCUGGCAGAACUGCCGUAGAUAAUACGGAGGAAGGUGGGGAUGACGUCAAAUCAUCAUGCCUCUUACGUCUUGGGCUACACACGUGCUACAAUGGCCAUCACAAAGAGCUGCAAUAUGGUAACAUGGAGCGAAUCUCAAAAAAAUGGUCUCAGUUCGGACUGUGGGCUGCAACUCGCCCACACGAAGUCGGAGUUGCUAGUAAUCCCGAAUCAGAAUGUCGGGGUGAAUGCGUUCCCGGGUCUUGUACACACCGCCCGU